Long non-coding RNA from Amphibalanus amphitrite, 869 nucleotides. RefSeq lists it as uncharacterized. The record is from RefSeq and is a predicted model, not a curated record. The transcript has 3 exons. Lineage: Eukaryota; Metazoa; Arthropoda; Thecostraca; Balanomorpha; Balanidae.
UGUGGAAGCAUUCUUGCGCACGGUUCUACCGUGUUGAAUGACACGUUGCCGUGUUUUACCCCUCUGCGUCGAGUUUAAAAACCCGAAUGGGGUUAUUUGGGCCGCGAUCUUGAGGGACAUUAACACCAAUUAACACAUGUGGGUUGUUAACUUACUCGGUUCACUUUCGCGCCAAAUGCAGCGCCGCGUGGGCCUCAGUCGCCAUCUUUGUGCGAUCCAGGGAGGUCGUGUCUGUGCUGCGUGUGACGUCUUGUUGAAUACGGCUCAAGAUGAGCAGAAUGAAGGUAAAUCUCCAAGUCCCACAGUCAGAGCUCAAGACUGUGAGGCAGGACUUCAUUCCUUGAUGAAUGCGGCUCAACUGCUAACAGGAUAAGAAGACACGAACCAGGAGAAGUUGGACGCUUUUUAGAAUUUCCUCUCGUACCGCUAUAGUGUCAUGGGUGGAGGGGAGCGAGGCUGCCAUCUCCGAAGACAACACGCCUCUGAGUGUGCGCCUCCUAGUUUGUGCGGCAAUGUUCCCCGUGUUCAAUGAGAAAAUUCAAUGCCCCAGCGGUCAGAACUCCCAGCUAGUGUUGACGCAAUAGCUCUCCAAAUGUCGACCGGAAAGUCGUUAAAAAAAUCGUUGCGACGAUCGGCUCGACAAGCUGAAGACCGCGCCAGUUAAUGCAUGUGAAACGGCACCUCUACUCUCCCAUCGCCAGGCCCAAAGACGUGUUAUUCAUAGGUGUCUUUCACAAUACUAGUGUUGCUGAUCGCGGAGGACCACUGUCCACUGCUCGUCCGCCGUGGUGUUACUUCUGAUGAGGCUCAGAGCGCAUGUGUAUUGUUUACUGUGAACAAUCUGUUGAAAUAUAUAAUGAGUAGAUCUG